Platichthys flesus (European flounder) is the source of this 228-nucleotide long non-coding RNA. RefSeq lists it as uncharacterized. NCBI's taxonomy places the organism in Eukaryota, Metazoa, Chordata, Actinopteri, Pleuronectiformes, Pleuronectidae. The record is from RefSeq and is a predicted model, not a curated record. The transcript has 3 exons.
UUCAACAACCUGUCUCUAAACCUGGUGCCUAAAGAAUCAGUUCAGGACAUGCUGGACAAUUACCUGCUAGAGACAGAUACUGAGUACAAGUGUGUCUGUGGUGGCCCAAAUUCUACCCAACAGUACAGCUUCAAAACCUUGCCCAGAGUUUUGAUCCUGCACGUGAUGCGUUUUUGUUAUACUUCGUCCUGGUCCCUGAAGAAACUACACAACACUGUCAAUAUUAAU